UUGGAGAAGAAAAACAACGUAUCUUUGCCCUCAUCCGUGAAGAUCGCGAUAAAUAAUAUCAAUAAAAGGGAACACGCAGUCGAUAAGGCGAAUAACAGUCUCCAGACUAGUACUUCCACUUCUUCUACGACACCGAUUCAAGAACAAACCAUAGAAACCACGACAACAGCCUAUCGUAUUUACCGAUUAAACCAAUUUCAAACUACAGAAAAUUCGCUAGAUGUCGAGGAGGACUACGACGAAGACUCUGACUAUCUGGAAGAUAACGAUGACUAUCAGAAGUCUAAUGACUCGAAACUAGACGAUGACAAAAGCGACGCGAAAUGGGGUAAUUGUAUUGGUAAUUUAGUAUAUCAGCAUAACAUAAUCAUCAGUGUACGCCAAGCGUCACAAGCUGUCGCGGAUAUAACUACGUCGGUGGAUGGACAUCUUUGCAUUACAUGCAUCAGAGUGGAAUCAUUGAAUCGUAACAAGAGCGUCACGGUGAAACUGGAAGUGAAUCGUAGAGAGGACGGCAGCCUUAUCAACGCGAAGCUCAAGUUCAACGGCUUCCAUCUCGAGCAAUUAUCAUAUUCCGUGAGGAUGUGGGCCGUCAACAAAGUAGAAAACAGUUGCAGCUUCGUACCGUAAUUUUAUAUUAAAACAAAUGAACCAUACAAUACCCUCGUACAUCAAAUUCAUUGUUCCUUCUUAACCCUUUCGCUCCUGAUAUUGCAUUAAUAUUCCAUUAAUUAAGCCUGUCAAAAGUCAAACUAAUCAACUGCAUUCUCUAUUAAUGUUUUAAUUUUAUUCCAUUAAUAUUCGAUUCUCAAGAACCAAAUGGCUUUCUCUCGUAAGUUCAUUCAUUGCAAGAAGAGGGCACAGAAAAUAAUAAAUUCGAAGAUAAAUUGAAAAAACAGAAUUUAUAACAUCUGUACUUUGCAAUUGAUAAAGUUGUUCAGUGUGGCUUCUGAGCGGUUCGAUUGACUAAACGACGAAUGUAUUUGUUCUCAGUAAAACUACUCUGUUUCGGUGUAUAUGUUCUUUUUACAAAACCACCGGGGAAAAAAUUUGUUUCUAUGGUCAAUAAAUAAUAAAGAGAGCUUCUCUCGCGAGUAAAAAGAAUUCGGUUCCAAAAGGUUUAACGUCAUUCAUCGUCCGUAAAAUACAUCGUUUCCUCCAAACACUAUGAAAUAAUCAGUCUGACCAUGACGGCGAAUAAACGUAAUUCGAAGAAUCUUGUCGGACGGGUUCCCCUUCAGGAACUUUUGGGCACAGCUGUCGGAAGGGGUGGCGGUGGUACGUCUGGUAUUUUCUCUUU
RNAcentral lists this unclassified non-coding RNA (1300 nucleotides) under Bombus terrestris (buff-tailed bumblebee). RNAcentral describes it as "misc RNA ENSBTSG00005027352.1". The record is from RNAcentral. Lineage: Eukaryota; Metazoa; Arthropoda; Insecta; Hymenoptera; Apidae.